Astatotilapia calliptera (eastern happy) is the source of this 3506-nucleotide long non-coding RNA. Lineage: Eukaryota; Metazoa; Chordata; Actinopteri; Cichliformes; Cichlidae. The record is from Ensembl.
CAUGCACCCUCUUUUCUCUCUCCUUCCUGCCGUGUGCCAUUCCUCCCUCUCUCUCUCUCUCUCUCUGCACUCACCCAAAGUGGCCAGAUCUCUCCUCUCUUUCUCUUGUCCUGUCUGCAUCCCUCCACCACUCUUUCUUUCUCUUCCUCCACGCCGACCAGCCCGAGUCUGUUCACAUUCACCUCCACAAGUUGAAAGGAUCUCAACCCACCGCUUUCCCAAACUUCCUCCGGCCAAAGACUUUAUUUUCAUUCUUGACCUUUUUUGGAUCCCUCAACAUUUUACUACCGUAGACGCCGGUUGGUGUGUGUUAGGUCUCCGGUGUUGUGCCCCUGGGGACGUCUCUGUGGGUUUUGACUGGCGAGAAGAGCGGAGAAGAGUUUUUUUUGACACAAUGAAAGUUCAGCUGCUGCUCCUGUCGGCCCUUGUUGGCCUUUUGUGCGCCUUCACAAGUGCAAAUCCAAUUACAGACCCUACAGAACUUCACAAUUCAUCUGUGGUCAUUACAGAAGGAGAAACCACACCUGGUGUUGCUCUAGAGGCUAAUCCUACCACUGUUGUCACCAGUCAUCCUCCAUCUGUACCAACUACGGCCCAUUUCGAAAUUACAACACACGUUUUCAAUGACCAUACGAGUGUGCCUGUGCCUACAACUGAAGCCCUAGUCACUGAAACAGAAGCUCCCAAUACACCUACCCAAUACGCUGAAUAUACGUCUGAGGAGACCACAUCGUCCACUGAGCAAGUACUCAGUGAGUCCCAAACAGACGACCUCACUGAGACAAUGGGCCCUACUGGGACAGUGAUCCCUGCUGACACAGAGGGCACUGCUGAGAGAGUGGGCCCUGUUGGGACAGAAACCACUGACCUGAUCAUUGAGGAGGACACAGAAGGUGAGGAAAGUGUGGGAGAAAGGAGAGAGGCCCUGAGCUCUGGACAGAUUGUGGGCAUUGUAGUCGGCGCCCUGCUGGCAGUGGCCGUCAUCACAGCAGUGGUGAUUGUUGUCUUGAAGAGGAUGGGCGAAUACUCGUAAGUAACUCACUACCGCAUGUACAUAAGCACAAAGAUUAAAUCCAUGGCAGUGUUACAUAGAUGUUGGGCACUGAGUCAUCACUGAACCAUCCAAGAAUGAAGUCACAUAGGAAAGAAAAGGUGACUACGAAUUCUCCCAAACCAGCAUUUCAAUCAAAAUUGUUCCUGAGCACAUGUGAACACAGACGUUCCUUCCUGAAAGUAGAUCAAGUCCAUAUGAAGUGACAGUUUUCUGUCCCCUGUGAACAUAUGAUGAUAAUUACUGCUAAUAAUGAUGGCGAAUUUUUGUGUCACAGGUCUGCAAGGAACAAAAAGCCUGGCAGAAAGCAGAGUGUUAUGGUCUUUGUAAAGUUUUCUAUUUUACCCCUUCAGCUAAUCAUUUUAACCCCUCACACACCUAUUUACAGCCAUCUUUUUCCCAAGAGCUACUGACAAGGCUCCAUAGUUGUUCCUCUGUCUGCUGACAUAGAGUCCCAUGCUUCUAGGUGGAAAAUCCAGCAUUCAUGGUGACAAGUGGCCUUAAAAUGAGCUUGCUUAUUGACUUAGUAUCGGUCUACAUGGCCCAUGGCCGUCAGCUAGAGGGGUUUUGUGUUAACAACUUGAUUUGAUCCCUAGAAACACAGGGGCUUUGUACAUUAGAAACAGGGUUGCUAACCAGAGCAAUCGCCAUCUGUUUGUUUUUUUAAUAAGUUAACCAAUAAUCAGAUUUUCUUUAGUUAUUGUACCGUUUGAAAUAAAAAAAAAACACAAAAAACUUUUUCACAGAAAUUGAAAAUUGUGUAUUUUUUUUUAACUCCAUUCAACUUUUGAAGCUGCGUAAUCUAUGAAUUAUGCAUAAAACCAUCUAAUUUUACUUAACAAGUCCCCCGAUGAAUUAACUUUAAAAUAAUAUAAACCCUAACUGCCAAUCAUAUAAAAAAAAUCUUUUCCAUCUCUGACCGGAUCUCUCUUUGUAUCCCACAGACCUUGAGGAAAAAGCCUACAAAGCAGCGGGACCGUGCGAAGUUCUGGAAAUUCUGAACUACUGAACUGUGACGUCAUUUCUGAUUAUUAAAAACAAGCACGCGAUGCCAGAACUAAGCAAACCUAACCAGCUCUCUGGACUGUGUUAACAAAAGCGAGGGGCGAGGGGCACGGGGCACGGGGUGGGGAGGGUGGGGGGUUUAUUUUUUUAAUGUAUAUAUUGCAUGUAUGUGACACAAGAGGGGUACAUGAGCCAAAAUCCUCACCUGCCCCUGCAAACUUCCUGAUCCCGAGGAGCUGUUAAAGAGAACAAAACAAGGUGACAACAGGAUGUCAGGAAGAAUUUCAGGCUUUUCAAAUGCAUUUUGUAGAAAAAAGACAAGACAGGGGUAAGUCCUCCACAUAAGCGAUUUAGUGACUGACUUAGAUUAAUACCAAGAAAGAAAAAUGACAUAAAAAUUAGAAAUACUUACAAAUCAAAGACAUAAGGAGGCUGGGAUUAGGAAAGAAAACAAGAAAUACUGUUGCCAAUUUUGCUGGAUGUAUAUACAGUGCUAGACAAAGACUAUACUGCAUUCAGUUACUCUCAUAUGUUGCACUCGCAUAGGCUAGGCAUUUAAUAUUAUGGAAUAUGCAGUACACUAUGUACAGGCAGCCUUAGGCUAUUGUUGUGGCUAAAGCACCCACGAGCACCGGUAUAGAGUAUGCUGUCAUGCAGCCCCUAAUAGGUUGGCCAACUGGAUGAAGCUUCUGGCCCUGGUGAGCUCUGAGGGUCAUCAGACACGAAAAGACACCCCUCGUUUGCAAGAGUAACGUGACAUUCUGCCCAGUUUAACACUUACAUAUAAAAACCUAAUACAUAUCUGUGAAAUUUAGCAGAAGGGUUUGUGCCACUGUCUCUGGUAUUCUCUAGCUAGCUAAGAUGAUUUUUUUUAUUUUUUUUUUUGGAAGUGCAUUAAAAAUGUGAAUUGAAUGUACUUUUAAACUGAUACCCAUUCCAAAACAAACAACUUGGCCCGUUAGCUUAUAAAGGCUCGCACAUUUGGUUACCAGACAUAGCAGUGACAUUGUCUUGACAGUGCUUCUGUUAAUACCAGAACAGCCAUCCAGUCUUUUCAGUUGACCUGACCCUAGAUCACAUGCAUAGGAUGACAAUUUAUAAUUGCACUUUGUUUUAGUGCAAAGUGUUUGGCAGUUAUGCCUUUUUUUUUUUUUUUUUUGCAAGAGUGUGUCACAUGGAUGUACAAAUAAUGACGUCUCGGCUUACCCCUGCUUGCUUUAAAAACGUAUUUAAUAUGUGCACUGAAUGAGUGGUGUAAUAUUUAAUGAACAAGCUUCAGACACUGCAAAUGUUUGCAACGAUACAUGUCCCUCGUCCCACCCACCCCUUCUGCUUUGCUGCAUAUUAUCACUUCUGAGUCUUUAAUUUGUGCCGUCUGAUUCGUUCAAAACGUUUAUUUAAUUGCAGUGCUUUUGGUCAUACUGUUUCAAUAAAAACAAUUUAAAACACA